GACGAACCGUGCGAACGUUGUUCGGAAUCACUGGGCUUAAAGGGCGCGUAGGCGGGUGACCAAGUCAGGGGUGAAAUCUUUCGGCCUAACCGGAAAAGUGCCUCUGAUACUGGUCGUCUUGAGGGAGGUAGGGGUCGAGGGAACUGGUGGUGGAGCGGUGAAAUGCGUAGAUAUCACUAGGAACGCCGGUGGCGAAAGCGCUCGACUGGACCUCUUCUGACGCUGAGGCGCGAAAGCCAGGGGAGCAAACGGG
This 253-nucleotide ribosomal RNA is filed under the name uncultured bacterium. Its description in RNAcentral is "partial 16S ribosomal RNA". It matches the Rfam family "Bacterial small subunit ribosomal RNA", at positions 524 to 776 of the family's 1533-position model. The record is from RNAcentral.